AUGGGGUCUGACUUAAGUCAAAAGACGGCAGGGCGUCCUUCCCAGGAGGAGCCUGAAGGCAGUGACACAGACCUCAAGGACUCCAGAAACUUGACUCUCCCCUCUUGCCCAGAGGGUUUACUUCUCUCUGCAAGAUUCUGCCUGGAAAGAGAUCUCUCUCAAUAUCCUCUGUCAAAAGAGGAGCCCAGAGCACAGGACAACCCAGUGCAGGCUGACCCUUGGCAUCCUCACAGACAGCAGAGAACAAAGACAAGCAUUAGACCUGCCCUCCAUGCACAUUUCCUGCAGACACAGCUCCAGCCGACAGCCAGCAGGAGACAGGGCAGGAAGUGCAGAUGCCUUCCUCCGGAGACCUCAGGGGGCAUGUCUCCAGAGACCGCCUGCCUUAUCCCUCCCUCCUGA
This 402-nucleotide long non-coding RNA is filed under the name Phascolarctos cinereus (koala). Its description in RNAcentral is "lncRNA (ENSPCIG00000013975.2)". Lineage: Eukaryota; Metazoa; Chordata; Mammalia; Diprotodontia; Phascolarctidae. The record is from RNAcentral.